This is a long non-coding RNA of Spodoptera frugiperda (fall armyworm), 8766 nucleotides long. RefSeq lists it as uncharacterized. The transcript is spliced from 3 exons. NCBI's taxonomy places the organism in Eukaryota, Metazoa, Arthropoda, Insecta, Lepidoptera, Noctuidae. The record is from RefSeq and is a predicted model, not a curated record.
GCAGGCUGGACGUGUGUUGCUCUCGAUUACGCUACACAAUUUUAAAAUAUUAUUAUUUACGACAUAAUAAUAGUAUAAUAGUUUUAUAUAUCAAAAUUAAGCUUUAGCUGUGAAGAAUACUGCUCAAUUUCGAGUAUCAGAAUUGUAUUCAACGCAGAGGACUGCACAUCAUUCCCAAUUUAAUAAGGAACCGAGAAAACAAACAAUAAAAACAAAAACGACAUCAAAGUCACAUCGCCACCCGAAGUCGGCAUUUACGGAACUACGCCGACUAAAGUCUACGAAUACAAAACUACGCUGCAAGAGUACUUUACGCUAGACUAUCUCGUAAAGGAUAACAUCAUCGAAUACUACUCAAGAAUACGCCCCAAUAUUAAUAUUGCACCAGUACGCUACGCAAAGUCGUUGAAAAAAAAACUACGCCAACCAAAGUCGACGUGUUUGGGACUACGCUGGGCAAAGUAUGGAGAGGAAAAUCUUCAACAAUUAUAUGAAGAAUGUACUACGAAAUUCUAUCGUGGAAUUACUUAUCAAACGUAGUAUGUAUUGUAAUAUAAUUGAUGAAAAAAUCUUUAUUAAACUUAGCAAGUAUAAGCAUAAGCGGGGUGUAAUGUUAUGCUUGCCAAGUUAUAUAAUUCAUGCGAAAAACAUCGAACCACUUAUUAUAUGAUAGAGAUACAUUAAAAAAAAUGUAUUUAAUUAUAAUUCUCACGCAACCACGCUGCGCUCCACGACUAAAAUCAUCGACGUUGGUCAUAAAGCGGCCAGCUUGAAGUGGAACUAGGCUGGUCACGUCUGCCGCAUGUCGGACGAGCGGUGGGCAAAACUCACUACUGAGUGGAGCUCACUCAACGUCCACAGACGUCGCGGCAGGCCCAGAAGGAGAUGGUGGGACGAACUUGACAUCUAUGACAAGGAAAGAGGAACAAUCAUGGCUGAAAUUGAAAUGGAAUUUAGCUAUAAAAAGUAGCAUAAUAAGCUAUGGUGUGUUCUGUAAAUAUGUAUAAUAUAAUUUACUGUAAUAUCAGCUAACGCGGCGAGCGUAAAGUUCGAGUUUAUGCUCGUCGUGGUAUAUGAUUCAUACGAAAUAUAUCGAACGACUUAUUGUAAUAAUUCUCAAGGGAAAUUAAGUUUUUUUAAGUAAAUAAUUAUAUAGUACAUAUUAAUAUAGUAAAUAAGAUUAGCUAAUGCGGCAAGCGUAAAAAUUGUUUAUGCUCGUCGCAUUAUGUAAUUAAAAUAUUAUUUGUUCCCGAUAGAAUCAAUACAGUUGUAAAAAAGUAGUUAAAAUUGUUGUAAAUGUGUAGAUUCAACGCGGCGAGCAUAAAGUUUACAAUUUUAUGCUCGCCGCGUUAUAUAAUUCAUGCGACAUAUAUCGACGCACACAUAUAGGAUACAAGCGUAAUUUUUUAAAAGUAGUAAUAAAUAUUGUCAAUAUGUAAAUAUGUAUAUUUAACGCGGCGAGCAUAAAAUUAAAUUUAUGCUCGCCGCGUUAUAUAAUUCAUGCGACAAACAUCGACACACACAGUAGAACAAGCGUUAUUGUAAAAAUUAGUUAUAAAUGUUGUAAAUAUUAACAAUUAACGCAGCAAGCGUAAUGUUGGUAACUUUAUGCUCGCCACAUUAUAUAAUUCAUGCGCUAGUGUGUAUCGUUAUUGCGAUAGUGUGUAAAUUAAUAAUAUAGUUUACUGUAAUAUUAAUUAACGCGACGAGCAUAAAGUUCGUAAUUUAUGCUCGCCGCGUUAUAUAAUUUAUACGAAAUAUAUCGAACGACUUAUUAUAAUAGUUCUCAAAUAAAAUUAAGUCAAUAGUAAGUCAUGUAAAUAAUUUUAUAGUAUGUAUUUAUAUAGUAAAUUAACGCGGCGAGCGUAAAGCUUAUAAUUUUAUGCUCGCCGCGUUAUAUAAUUUAUGCGAAAAAUAUCGCCGCGCACAGAACAAGCAUAUUAUGCAUAGUUAUAACAAACACAGAUAUUAAUGCAUAUUAAUCCCUUGCAAGAUGAACAGGCUUUAGUACGAGCCAGUAUUUUGGGCACCUUACCUCACGACAACGAGGGAGAGUCUUUUAGAAGAUAAGUUUCAGAUAGUAAUAAGUAUUUUGAAUUAUAAAUUAACGUUACUAUAGUCGAACCCGGCAAGUAUGUGGUUAGGUAAAAUCUUAUGCUUUCCCCGCCUCUGAGACGACGCAAGGGGUAGUCCAACGCCUAACUACCCCGGGCAAGAGAUGAGGUCAGGACGGACCUAGCCGACACUUGAUGUGGGGCUGCGAAAGAAUUUAGAUUCUCGCAGCCCCAUGUUCACGUCCGGAGAAGACACCGGUGGGUUUUAGCCGGUAUUUUUUUUUAUGGAAUAGGAGGCAAACGAGCAAACGAGUCACCUGAUGGUAAGCGAUCAGCGCCGCCCAUGGACACCUGCAACACCAGAGGAGUCACAGGUGCGUUGCCGCCCUUUGAAUCCUAUGAAUCCUGUAUGCCCCUCCUCUUUCCCCAGGUGGAGAAAGUCCAUGAGGAUUUCCCUUAUGCUUGCCGGGUUAGUAUAAUUCUUGCGACAAAGACCGACGAACAUAGCUAGGUGUAAAAAUAACAUCUAUUUCAAUUUGUAAACGGUUUUAUUUAUUUAUUUAUUUCAUUCAAAAAGUUACAACGGUAGACAACCAAUUAAAGCAACUUACAUACAUAAUUAAAACAUAAUUAACAUUUAUUUCGCUUGCCUCGUUUGUUUUGUUUCUGGGGUAAGUUAAAAAUAAAGGCGACAAGUCUUAAGGUACAUCUAAAUUAUGACACUAUACACCGUACACUCAAUGUACAAAUCCAAUGUCUGUUUAUGAACACGAGUGCCUAUAAUUGGAAAAUUUAUGCUCGCCGCGUUAUAUAAUUCAUGCGACAUAUAUCGACACACACAUAUAGAACAAGCAUUUAUUUGUAAAAAUAUCUUAAAGGGUUGUAAAUAUGUACAUUUAACACGGCGAGCGUAAAGUUUUUAAUUUAAUAUUAUUUAAUUUUAUUUAUAAUUUAAUGCACUGGGGAACGUUCCCAGAAGACUGGCCGCAUUGCCACGUUGUAUAGCAAUGCUUAUCUUCUGACCGAAGAAAUAGCCAGCCUUCUGGUCACGCGUAGAAUCGAAUAGCUUAUGUGCAAUUUCUUUAAAUACAGAAUGUGCACCCAUAGCCCAAUUGUUUUAUAUAAAGUUGUAAUAAAUGUUUUCAAUUUGUAAAUAAUUAUGUACAAUUAACGCAGCGAGCGUAAAGUUUAAAACUUAAUGCUCGCCGCGAUAUAUAAUUCAUGCCACAAAUAUGGAAAAACAAUAUAACAAGCAUUUACUGUGUAAAAAUAUAAAAGAGGAUUGUAAAUAUGUAAAUAUGUGCCAAUAACGCGGCGAGCGUAAAGUUCACAAAUUUAUGCUCGCCGCGUUAUAUAAUCCAUGCGACAAAUAUCGAAACACACAAUAGAACAAGCAUUUAUUUGUAAAAAGUAGUAAUUAAUAUUUUGUGUCUUGAUUCUUUGGAUUAUUUUCGUGUUGGAGUCUUGGAGUGUGAAGCUAUUCCCCACAGCUGUAUGUCGUAUGUCCAUACUGGUUUGAAAAUAGAUUUGUGUAGUGAGAUUUUAUGUUCUAAAGAUAGCUGGGACUUCUCCACUGAACUCGCGACUCCAAUGAACCAGUACAAUUAUCGCAACUUUGUAAAAAGGAAAGUAUUGUAAAUAUGUACAAAUAACGCGGCGAGCGUAAAGUUUAUAAUUUUAUGCUCGUCGCGUUAUAUAAUUCAUGCGACAAACAUCGACACACACAGUAGAACAAGCAUUAUUGUAAAAAUUAGUAAUAAACGUACUCAAUCUGUAAAUAUGUAAAUAUGUGCCAAUAACGCGGCGAGCAUAAAGAUCAUAACUUAAUCUUAAUGCUCGCCGCGUUAUAUAAUCCAUGCAACAUAUAUCGACACACACACAUAGAACAAGCAUUUAUUUGUAAAAAAUAUCUUAGAGGGUUGUAAAUAUAUAGCCAGAAGUCUGGAUUAUCUUUUGACUGAAGAAAUAGCCAGCCUUCUGGUCACGUGUAGAAUCGAAUAGCUUACGUGCAAUCUCUUUAAAUAAAGAAUGCGCACCCAUAGUCCAAGUGUUUUAUAUAAAGUUGUAAUAAAUGUUGUCAAUAUGUAAAUAUGUACAAAUAACGCGGCGAGCGUAAAGUUUGUGACUUUAUGCUCAUCACGUUAUAUGUAUAAUUCAUGCGACAAACAUCGACACACACAGUAGAACAAGCAUUAUUGUAAAAAGUAGUAAUAAAUGUUCUCAAUCUGUAAAUAUGUAAAUAUGUAUGUGCCAAUAACGCGGCGAGCAUAAAGAUCAUAAUCUUAAUGCUCGCCGCGUUGUAUAAUUCAUGCGACAAAUAUCGAUACACACAAUAGAACAAGCGUUAUUGUAAAAAUUAGUUAUAAGUGUUGUAAAUGUUGUAAAUAUGUACAAUUAACGCGGCGAGUGUAAAAUUCGAAAAAUUAUGCUCUGGGGAACGUUCCCAAAAUUCUGGCCCCAUUGCCAAGUUAAAUGGCAAUGCUUAUCUUUUGACCGAAGAAAUAGCCAGCCUUCAGGGUCACGUGUAGAAUCGAAUAGUUUACGUGCAAUCUCUUUAAAUACAGAAUGUGCACCCAUAGCCCAAGUGUUUUAUAUAAAGUUGUAAUAAUUGUUUUCAGUUUGUAAAUAAUUAUGUACAAUUAACGCAGCGAGCGUAGAGUUUAUAAUUUUAUGCUCGCCGCGUUAUAUAGUCCAUGCGACAAAUAUCGACACCCACAGUAGAACAAGCAAUUUGUAAAAAUAGCAAUAAGGUUUGUAAAUAUGUAAAUGUGCACAAUUAACGCGGCGAGCGUAAAGUUUACAAUUUUAUGCUCGCCGCGUUAUAUAGUCCAUGCGACAAAUAUCGACACCCACAGUAGAACAAGCAAUUUGUAAAAAUAGCAAUAAGGUUUGUAAAUAUGUAAAUGUGCACAAUAUAAUCCAUGCGACAUAUAUCGACACACACAUAUAGAACAAGCAUUUAUUUGUAAAAAUAUCUUAAAGGGUUGUAAAUAUAUGUACAUUUAACGCGGCGAGCGUAAAAUUCGAAAAAUUAUGCUCUGGCCGCAUUGCCAAGUUGAAUGGCAAUGCUUAUCUUUUGACUGAAGAAAUAGCCAGCCUUCUGGUCAUAUGUAGAAUCGAAUAGCUUACGUGCAAUCUAUUUAAAUAAAUAAUGUGCAGCCAUAGCCCAAGUGUUUCAUAUAAAGUAGUAAUCAAUGUUGUCAAUUUGUAAAUAAUUAUGUACAUUUAACGCGGCGAGCGUAAAGUUUACAAUUUUAUGCUCGCCGCGUUAUAUAAUCCAUGCGACAAAUAUCGACACCCACAGUAGAACAAGCAAUUUGUAAAAAUAGCAAUAAGGUUUGUAAAUAUGUAAAUGUGCACAAUUAACGCGGCGAGCGUAAAGUUUACAAUUUUAUGCUCGCCGCGUUAUAUAGUCCAUGCGACAAAUAUCGAAACACACAAUAGAACAAGCGUUUAUUUGUAAAAAGUAGUAAUAAAUAUUUUGUUUCUUGAUUCUUUGGAUUAUAUUAUUUUCGUGUUGGAGUCUUGAAGUGUGAAGCUGUUCCCCACAGCUGUAUGUCGUAUGUCCAUACUGGUUUGAAAAUAGAUUUGUGUAGUAAGAUUUUAUGUUCUAAAGAUAGCUGGGACUUCUCCACUGAACUCGCGACUCCAAUGAACCAGUACAAUUAUCGCAACUUUGUAAAAAGGAAAGUAUUGUAAAUAUGUACAAAUAACGCGGCGAGCGUAAAGUUUAUAAUUUUAUGCUCGUCGCGUUAUAUAAUUCAUGCGACAAACAUCGACACACACAGUAGAACAAGCAUUAUUGUAAAAAUUAGUAAUAAAUGUUCUCAAUCUGUAAAUAUGUAAAUAUGUGCCAAUAACGCGGCGAGCAUAAAGAUCAAAACUUAAUCUUAAUGCUCGCCGCGUUAUAUAAUUCAUGCGACAUAUAUCGACGCACACACAUAGGACACAAGCGUAAUUGUAUAAAGUAGUUAUAAAUAUUGUCAAUCUGUAAAUAUGUACAUUUAACGCGGCGAGCGUAAAAACCGAAAUAUUAUGCUCGCCGCGUUAUAUAAUUCAUGCGACAUUUAUCGACGCACACAUAUAGGAUACAAACGUAACUUAUAAAAGUAGUAAUAAAGUUGUCAACAUGUAAAUAUGUACAAUUAACGCGGCGAGCGUAGAGCUUAUAAUUUUAUGCUCGCUGCGUUAUAUUAUCCAAGCGACAAACAUCGACACACACACAUAGAGCAAGCGUUAUUGUAUAAAGUAGUUAUAAAUGUUGACAAUAUGUAAAUAUGUACGUAAAUAUUUAACGCGGCGAGCGUAAAAACCGAAAUUUUAUGCUCGCCGCGUUAUAUAAUUCAUGCGACAUAUAUCGACGCACACAUAUAGGAUACAAACGUAAUUUAUAAAAGUAGUAAUAAAGUUGUCAACAUGUAAAUAUGUACAGUUAACGCGGCGAGCGUAGAGUUUAGACAAACAUCGACACACACACAUAGAACAAGCGUUAUUGUAUAAAGUAGUAAUAAGUGUUGUCAAUAUGUAAAUAAUUAUAUACAUUUAACGCGGCGAGCGUAAAGUUUGUAAUUUUAUGCUCGCCGCGUUAUAUAAUCCAUGCGACAAAUAUCGAAACACACAAUAGAACAAGCAUUUACUGUGUAAAAAUAUAAAAGAGGAUUGUAAAUAUGUACAAUUAACGCGGCGAGCAUAAAGCUUAUAAUUUUAUGCUCGUCGCGUUAUAUAAUUCAUACGACAAACAUCGACACACACAAUAGAACAAGCAUUAAUGUAAAAAGUAGUAAUAAAUGUUGUCAAUAUGUAAAUACAUGUACAUUUAACGCGGCGAGCGUAAAGCUUAUAAUUUUAUGCUCGCCGCGUUAUAUAAUUCAUGCGACAAAUAUCGACACACCCAGUAGAACAAGCGUUAUUGUAAAAAUAUCGAUGAGCAUUGUAAAUAAUAAUAUGUAAAUAUAUACAAAUAACGCGGCGAGCGUAAAGUUUAUAACUUAAUGCUCGCCGCGUUAUAUAAUUCAUGCGACAAAUAUCGCCCCCCCUAUAGAACAAGCAUUAUUGUAAAAAUAUCAAUGAGCAUUGUAAAUAAUAAUAAUUAUGUAAAUAUAUACAAAUAACGCGGCGAGCGUAAAGUUUAUAACUUAAUGCUCGCCGCGUUAUAUAAUUCAUGCGACAUAUAUCGCCCCCCUAUAGAACAAGCAUUAUUGUAAAAAUAUCAAUGAGGAUUGUAAAUAAUAAUAUGUAAAUAUAUACAAAUAACGCGGCGAGCGUGAAGUUUAUAACUUAAUGCUCGCCGCGUUAUAUAAUUCAUGCGACAAAUAUCGCCCCCACUAUAGAACAAGCAUUAUUGUAAAAAUAUCAAUGAGGAUUGUAAAUAAUAAUAUGUAAAUAUAUACAAAUAACGCGGCGAGCGUGAAGUUUAUAACUUAAUGCUCGCCGCGUUAUAUAAUUCAUGCGACAAAUAUCGCCCCCCCUAUAGAACAAGCAUUAUUGUAAAAAUAUCAAUGAGGAUUGUAAAUAAUAAUAUGUAAAUAUAUACAAAUAACGCGGCGAGCGUAAAGUUUAUAACUUAAUGCUCGCCGCGUUAUAUAAUUCAUGCGACAAAUAUCGACACACCCAGUAGAACAAGCAUUAUUGUAAAAAUAUCAAUGAGGAUUGUAAAUAAUAAUAUGUAAAUAUAUACAAAUAACGCGGCGAGCGUAAAGUUUAUAACUUAAUGCUCGCCGCGUUAUAUAAUCCAUGCGACAAAUAUCGACACACCCAGUAGAACAAGCAUUAUUGUAAAAAUAUCAAUGAGGAUUGUAAAUAAUAAUAUGUAAAUAUAUACAAAUAACGCGGCGAGCGUAAAGUUUAUAACUUAAUGCUCGCCGCGUUAUAUAAUUCAUGCGACAAAUAUCCCCCCCCCUAUAGAACAAGCAUUAUUGUAAAAAUAUCAAUGAGGAUUGUAAAUAAUAAUAUGUAAAUAUAUACAAAUAACGCGGCGAGCGUGAAGUUUAUAACUUAAUGCUCGCCGCGUUAUAUAAUUCAUGCGACAUAUAUCGACGCACACAUAUGGAACAAGCGUUAAUAAAUUAGUAAUUUAUAUUUUAAGUGUUAAUAUAGAAUAUAGGUACUUUAAGUAGUAUAAUAAUAGAAAUGGAACUCGGCGAGUGUGAGGGUAUAUGAUACCCAGUUAGUAGAUAAAUAAUACUCAUAAAAAUUAUCACUUUAUCACGAACAAAGUGACAUAAUUAUGUACAGUAAAAUAUGACCAAUUGAUAAUUUAUAGGAGAUUAUCUUUAAUAGUGCUUUUCCACCAGAGAUGUGCUAUGCUACGUUGCUAUGGAUGCGUUUGGCUUCCACCAAUCAUAUUCAUUAGUAGACAUAGCUUAGUGCUGUUGGAAACGGGUUCAACUAAGCAAUGUUUUUAUACGGAAAAAUGCGUGCUUUAGAUGGCUUCCCUACUAUCGAUACAUCGCAUACUCGAUCUGCGCAUCUUCCUCGCACACCUACAUAGCUUAGUAUCAGUGGAAACGGUCACAUAGUUUCACAGCUUAGCUAUCUUCGUAGCAUAGCUACACAGCACAUCUCUGGUAGAAAAAGCAUCUUAAAUAUAAUCUUGAUAUUUUUUUAAAUUGCUAAUCGUGACAUAGCCGAGUUCGUACUAAUCUUAGAUCGAAUAUAUAACAUACUAAAAUACAUACAAACAUAUAUUUGUCAUAUAAACAUAAUAAUUAUU